RNAcentral lists this ribosomal RNA (125 nucleotides) under Tubeufiales sp. RNAcentral describes it as "partial small subunit ribosomal RNA". It matches the Rfam family "Eukaryotic small subunit ribosomal RNA", at positions 1657 to 1779 of the family's 1831-position model. Lineage: Eukaryota; Fungi; Ascomycota; Dothideomycetes; Tubeufiales. The record is from RNAcentral.
CCUUUGUACACACCGCCCGUCGCUACUACCGAUUGAAUGGCUCAGUGAGGUCUCCGGAUUGGUUCAGGGAGGUUGGCAACGACCACCCAGGACCGAGAAGCUGAUCAAACUUGGUCAUUUAGAGG